This 253-nucleotide ribosomal RNA is filed under the name uncultured bacterium. RNAcentral describes it as "partial 16S ribosomal RNA". It matches the Rfam family "Bacterial small subunit ribosomal RNA", at positions 524 to 776 of the family's 1533-position model. The record is from RNAcentral.
UACAGAGGGUGCAAGCGUUAAUCGGAGUUACUGGGCGUAAAGGGCGCGUAGGUGGUUGUAUAAGUGAGAUGUGAAAUCCCUGGGCUUAACCUAGGAACUGCAUCUUAUACUGUAUAGCUAGAGUACUGUAGAGGGUAGUGGAAUUUCCGGUGUAGCGGUGAAAUGCGUAGAGAUCGGAAGGAACACCAGUGGCGAAGGCGACUACCUGGACCAGCACUGACACUGAGGCACGAAAGCGUGGGGAGCAAACAGG